UUCUUCUUCUUCUUCUUCUUCGUUAGUUGUCUUGUGUAGUAAUCUCCAUUUUGGGUUUUGGUGAUGGGUGAUUGGUUUUUAUGAGUUUAGAGUUUUUUUUAUUCUUCCUAACAACGUAUCAGUUCGCUUGGUGUUUCUCAGUUACCUUCAUCAUCCAGAAAUCUCCAAGUCUGUUUGUGCAAUAGCUCGCAGAGUCGCAGAUCAUAUUUAAUUGGUUUUCAUCUUACAUCGUUUACAUAUAACGUAAUACGUUUGAUUCUGUCAAUUGGGUUCUGUUGGGUUUGUGUUGGGUUAUGUGGUUUUAGUUCUGAGUUUGCGCAUCUCUUCUUCUUCUUCUUUUUAAUCUCUUUGUAUUCAUGGAGGUUUGUUUGACUAAUUGACUCCGAUUGUUUCCGGAAUAGAUUUUUCCUUAAUAUUUUUUUUAUUAUGUGGUUGUUUAAUUUAUCUGUGUUGGGGAUUUGAGUGGUAAGUUCGUCAGUUAUUUAUUAAACUUUCUGUUUUAUUUGAUCUGAAUCGUUAGUUAGUCGGAAUGUUGAUGCAGCUUUGUGGAGAAUCUGGGCAUAACUCUUGAAGAAUCUGGGAAUUGAUGGAGAAGAAUGUAGUAUUUAAACAAAUUGAUUAAGGAUUAAAUGCAGAAUGGUGAGGGUCUCCAUGGUAACAAUUCAGAGGAAGUUGAGGCCAAUUUAGUACGUGUUCAAUCUUUCAAAUAGAUUUUUGAAUACAUUCACAAAUUAUGCUGGAACAUGUCAUGGGGCAGAAGGGUUAGCUGCAUAUAGUUGAGGGUCAGUUUCACUGCAGAGAUUCUGAGUUCAAGUCCUUAAAACAAAAAAAAUGAAGUUUCUGUUUUUCAGAGGACUGAAGAAAAUGUGAGAUCAUUUUGAGGGAAGGUAUUCUGAAUGUGAUACUUUGAUAAUUGAUGAUCAACUUUACCAGACCCUAACAAAUCUUGGUAAUAUAAUAAACACUUACAGAUUCUUUCAUUAUUUGUGUAAUUUACAGUUCUGCAUGUAGUCUCGAUAUUUUUCUUUUGGAAAUAGCAAUUUGUUCUUUUCUUCUCUAAUCUUUGUAAUGUAUUUUGCAGAAUUCCAAAUGUUCUUUGCAAAAUAAUCACUAUUACAGUGCUACUAGCUGAGAUCAGUUCUAAUCCUUGCAUUAUGUCGUCUCUUCUUCUAAGCACCCUAAACCAAUUAACUUAAUUCUCAAUGUCAAUCUUACUCUUUCUAAGCCAAACACACUUCAUUUUCCUGCCUAUCUUUGCUUUCUAUUGUUUCAGUGCGCAAAGAUUAAUGUGUUUUUUUGUAUUUUUUAUUGCUAUUAGUUUGUGCAAUUAAAACCAUAUUUUUGUUACUACAAUUUUUGAGUGAUUGUACCUAUGAGUUUUUUCUCUCAGGGAAACCAUAAGUCAAGGAUACUACUGUUUGUCAAAUAGAGAAUUCUUCUCCAAAAUUUUAGACUCUGAUCUUGGUUUUUGAGGUGAAGUUUCAGUCUUUCAACUCCAUUGUUGCUUUACAGUGUUCUUUUUUAAGUGAAAGUAUUAUACUGGUAAUUGUGUCUUUUUGUUUCGUAGAUGUGAUCUUAGAGCUCACUUACACUUAGUAUACCAUAAGUGGAAGGAAAAAGAACUUACAUUGGAUAUUAAACAUUUUUACUAAAAAUUUGGUAUUUUUUUGGGUAAAUCUGAAAUUAAACUUCUAUACUGUUUUCAUUCACUUAUUUUUCAAGGAUCUGAGGUGGACUGAGCUCUAUGUAGGCUUCUGUUUCUUUAUUUUUGUCAAUUUUAGUACAUACAGAUUUGGAUGGUUCAAAUGUUUAGAUUCAGAGGUUGUUGCUGCUCUUUAUCUCUUUGUAUUUCAGGUUUUUAUGGCUUCCCCCUUCUUUUCAAGUUGUAGGGGUGAAUGUAAUUUUGGGGUUCCAGAGUAAAGAGCUGAUAAUCUUGAGUUUGGCCAUGACUGUACCAUCCAUGGAUUGCCAGCUCAGGUAUGUUCAUUUUGUAAUUCCUAUCAACAUGAGGAAUGGGGCUCGAUAACGCUGUAUUUAUAGUGGUGGUGUGAUACAGCCAACUUAUCAUGUUGGUAAGAAGCAUACAGUAUAAAGAGAAACAAAGGGAAGGGUAUUCGAAGAAGCAUGUGAACAAGGGAAUACAGAUAAUUACAGCAGUGUAUCAUCAAACAGGUGAUUAUGAGAGCAUAUCAGAAGCAAGUGGGGGUCAAAUCUGGUUUGAAUCCAGAAUAAAAUUCGCAAGAAUAAAUGCCAAAACCUCAAUCAAGAUAGUAUUCUUAUUCCUGUAUUAUUGCAAACAAAAUUCUCUAUUAGAUGUAGUAUUUUGUUACCGGAAUAAGUACUUAUGCUUAUGUAAUCUCAUGACGUAUAAACUACAAAAUU
Argentina anserina (silverweed cinquefoil) is the source of this 2382-nucleotide long non-coding RNA. RefSeq lists it as uncharacterized. The transcript has 6 exons. NCBI's taxonomy places the organism in Eukaryota, Viridiplantae, Streptophyta, Magnoliopsida, Rosales, Rosaceae. The record is from RefSeq and is a predicted model, not a curated record.